AUUGAACGCUGGCGGCAUGCCUUACACAUGCAAGUCGAACGGUAACGGGCCUUCGGGUGCCGACGAGUGGCGCACGGGUGAGUAAUACAUCGGAACGUGCCCGAUCGUGGGGGAUAACGAGGCGAAAGCUUUGCUAAUACCGCAUACGAUCUACGGAUGAAAGCAGGGGACCGCAAGGCCUUGCGCGGACGGAGCGGCCGAUGGCAGAUUAGGUAGUUGGUGGGAUAAAAGCUUACCAAGCCGACGAUCUGUAGCUGGUCUGAGAGGAUGAUCAGCCACACUGGGACUGAGACACGGCCCAGACUCCUACGGGAGGCAGCAGUGGGGAAUUUUGGACAAUGGGCGCAAGCCUGAUCCAGCCAUGCCGCGUGCAGGAUGAAGGCCUUCGGGUUGUAAACUGCUUUUGUACGGAACGAAAAGCCUUAUUUUAAUACAGGAGGGUCAUGACGGUACCGUAAGAAUAAGCACCGGCUAACUACGUG
RNAcentral lists this ribosomal RNA (482 nucleotides) under uncultured bacterium. Its description in RNAcentral is "partial 16S ribosomal RNA". It matches the Rfam family "Bacterial small subunit ribosomal RNA", at positions 30 to 507 of the family's 1533-position model. The record is from RNAcentral.